GAUGAUUUGACAUCAGUGAGCCAAGCCCAUAUGGUUGUGGGAAGCAUGUAGUUCAGUUCAGUCUGUGACAGCUUGCAGCCACUAUUUCUUCAUUGAACUGGACUUUACAUAGAUUUAACUUAAUGAAUGUAUGAAUGCGGUCUGCAUAGCUACAAAAGACGGUCACGGUCAGAAUUUUUCAGAGCUAAUCUUGGUCAUUUUCCGGAAUUUUAAUCUUAAAGAUGAAAACCAUUGUCACUAUCAGUUUGGCACUUCUUUCGGCUCUGAUUGUUGCUGGGUUGAAGUUCGAAGCAACCGAAGGACAGAAUAUUACAAUAUACUUUGACAUAGAUAAAGAGGAGAAAGCAAAAGAAGUGAGGAUUACUUUUAAACAAGACAACCAUGAACAGCCCGUUGUUGUCGCUCAGCAGCCUUGGAACCAUGAAGAAACCCCUCCAGCUGGAGUUUCACUGCUGGUCGAGAAAAGACGCUUGUCUGUAACCAUUCAGAAUGUCAGCAUCUCCAGAAACUCUGGACUCUAUACAGCAGAAGUCUUCUUUGAAAAGUACACAUCUGAGGUGAAUGCUACGCUUGUUGUCAAUGAAGCAGCAUUUUCCUCCACUAUAACGCCAGAACACUCCUCCACCCCAAAACCUCUCAACAACUUGUCUCAACUCCUCUGGCUUUGUGCAUUAAUUCCUCUCGUCAUCUCAGGAGGUUGUUUACUUCUGUAAAUGCCGGAGG
This is a long non-coding RNA of Megalobrama amblycephala (Wuchang bream), 723 nucleotides long. RefSeq lists it as uncharacterized. The transcript has 3 exons. The record is from RefSeq and is a predicted model, not a curated record. NCBI's taxonomy places the organism in Eukaryota, Metazoa, Chordata, Actinopteri, Cypriniformes, Xenocyprididae.